This 22-nucleotide microRNA is filed under the name Rattus norvegicus (Norway rat). RNAcentral's name for it is "rno-miR-880-3p". Its record names the gene rno-miR-880-3p. The record is from miRBase by way of RNAcentral. Lineage: Eukaryota; Metazoa; Chordata; Mammalia; Rodentia; Muridae.
UACUCCAUUCAUUCUGAGUAGA